UCACUAACAACAACUACCUGAAUCCUUCGAAUUGGCCGGUUUCGCGAGCCAGUUUGGUUGCAGAAAUGGGUGGUGCCUCGGAGACACCCACGUCGUGACUCUUCCUCGAGACUCGGACCAUCGCCCUGUCACAGCUGGAAGUCACAAGUACGCACUAGGUGCAAAUCGGGGGCACGAAGAUCAUUCAAAAAUUAUUUGUAGAGGAGAAGGAUGAGGCACUCGACCUGUCCCAAGGAGAGAGAGCCCCUGGGGCUUCCUUGAAGGUGAUACACGACAUUCUCAGGCACACAGAUGCAACGUCCGUGCUGAAGACAGACAGACGAAAUCCAUUUGAAACAGUUCCAGGCCCUUUCGAGCUCUUUCGGCAAUGCAUGCGAUCAAAACCUGGGUAUACUUGAUCUCCUACUGCUUUCUAUCUUACUUUGGGCUUUCUACGUCAAGAACAGAAAUUUUAACUGAUGGGUGAUUAUAGCAAGUUUUAUAUUUCUUACAUUUAACAAUGAAUGAUAGAUAGCCUUUUCUAAUUUAUUGCCGACUCGUAAGUCAGUAUCCACAACCUUCCCCUACCAACCAGCGUGUGUUUGGUGAGUCAAAUCCUAGACAACUUGGCUAUCGAGGCCUUCAGUCAUAAAGAUGUAAAUUCCUUUUGGAAGAAGCAUCAUCUAUUCUAACCGUACUAGUUGUUUGGCCCACAU
Molecule: long non-coding RNA, 695 nt
Organism: Musa acuminata subsp. malaccensis (wild Malaysian banana)
Lineage: Eukaryota; Viridiplantae; Streptophyta; Magnoliopsida; Zingiberales; Musaceae
Source: RefSeq, a predicted model, not a curated record